Felis catus (domestic cat) is the source of this 2160-nucleotide long non-coding RNA. RefSeq lists it as uncharacterized. The transcript is spliced from 3 exons. NCBI's taxonomy places the organism in Eukaryota, Metazoa, Chordata, Mammalia, Carnivora, Felidae. The record is from RefSeq and is a predicted model, not a curated record.
GGGCCAGAGGUGCUCAUUGCUGGUUCCUUCUGCCCCUCCGUUCACUUUCUGCCGCUAAAUUUCUCAGAAUCGUUGGUGUUUCCAAAUAUCCCUGACCGGGACCAGGGGCCCCCGAGCUCCGCUCUUGCCCAAUCCGGGCUCUGACCCUGGCAUCUGAGCCCGGGGCCCCGGCCCUCCUGUGAAGCUCAGAGGCCAGGCCCUGCAGCCUUGGGGCCUGCUGCUUUACUCUCCCUGGGAGCAAAGUCCCCCCUCUUCCCCCCCAGCAGCCUGGGGGUGGUGGGGAGAGAGGCGGGAGAGAGAGCAGGCUUUCCCCACCCCACCUGGGACUGGUGCUAACAAGCUCCCAUUGGCUCCUACUGGGCACCCAGGCUUUUCACCCCUUAACUCCUCUCUUAAAGCCCAGAGCCCAGCCCGAUUUGCAGAUGAGAAGACUGAAGCCCCGACAGCAGGUGCAGGGCUGCGGGCCGAGGGUCCUGCUGCACAUUCCUCAUGGCCAUCCAGCGAGGUCGGGAGUUAUCGUCCCCGUUUGCGAGCUAGGGAAGCUGAGGCUCACAGAAGCGUUCCCACCUUGUUCCCACCUCGCCCUCCCUCGGUCCCCCUGCACGCUCCCCGCCCCAGGCUCCAUCAGCGUCCAGGCCUCGACUCCAGCGCAGCUCGGAGGAGACGCCUCCCUGACCACCCCGUCUAAACUAGCAAAGACGCGCACCUCAUCGUCACUUUGUUUAACAGCACCAUCGUCAUUUUGAUGAUCUGCACCCCUUCACCCCCUGCGGUCGGAGGUCCCCACUGCAAGGACCCCAAGGGCCCGGAGGAGGUCGCAACCCCAGCAUUUCAAACACAGAUUGAAACCAAGCAAGAGCCAACUACGUUAUUUGUUGAAGGAACUAGAGGGGGGUGGAGAGGAGUCAGGAUCUGAACCGCAGUCUGUUUGGGAAUCCAGUGCGUCUAUCCACUCAAGCAUACGGUCUCCUUAAACGGCCAAGGAUGAGCUCUUUAUAGAUUUGGGAGAAUAUACCACAAACUGCCAAAGUGCCUCCCUCUGAGGAGUAUGUGGAAGGAGAUGGGGAGGGAGCUUUUUUUUUUUUUUUUUUUUGAACCGUAUGUAUUUCUAUAUUUAUUUGAAUUUUUCUAAGGCCCAUGUAUUACUUUCAUAAUCUAGAAAGUGAUGCAUGCAGGAUUAGGUGAUUCUCCCCCCUUCUCGGUGAACUCUCCUUAACCCCUUAGAUCCAGACGCAUCACCUGCACACACGUUCCUCAGCUCACAGAUUCCUCCCCUCGGCCAAUGGUAGAGAACAUCAGCACAGCUUCAAACCAUCUGCUCCUACGCAGAACCAAGCUAAAAGAAGGAUUAUUUGAAAAACGUCCUUGGAAGCUGUGAGGCUCCACCCGGGGAGGUGGGAGGCGGGAGGCGUCAGAGUCACCUGGGAGGUUUUCCUGAAACGCACUGCCCUGGGGCCCCACCCCCAGGAUCGGUGGGUUGGGUUUUAAGUCUUGUGCAGGGCAAGCCACAGAGAGGACCACCGGUUUCAGGGACACACUACUAGAGAUCUCUACCUUGCUCCUUGGAUAAGCUCAGGCGGGGGCAAUCCCAUCCUCCCCAGAGCUGCUGAGCCUCGGGGGAUCUUUUGCAUCCAACGCUUAACUUCUGUCAGCAGGGGCGACCGGAACUGCCCUCUGCACCGUUUAGGGCUUAACCAUCUCAACUCUUAGCACCCUCCACCUCAGCCUUCCCCCGUGGGGCCCCUGAAUCAGAGGGGGAAAGGGGCAGGAUCACAGCUGGUGCCAGCGACAGCUCAUCUACGCUGCAGCCGAGGCCCUCGUGGUGGGAACCUGUCAGGCCCAUGAACGGUGGGCAGAAGAAAAGCUGAGAUGUGACACUGUGCACAGCAGCAUCUGAGAAGCUGCAGCAAGACAGGGUCGGGAAAAUCUGACUCCCUAGAAGAACCACAACUUUUUUCUCCUUUAGAAUAAAGAACUCGGUAAUGGACCAUUUCCCUUUUUGCCCUGGCUACCAGGAAGCUCAGAGGUCAUAUUUACUCUCAUAGCUACAUAGCUACUGCAUCUGUUUUUCUUUUUUUUUAAUUAAAUCUUUGGUAUCAAGGUCCCAUUUUCCUAGAGGCGGGGCAUAAAGAAAUCCAAUAAAUGAAUAUUUACACAGUA